RNAcentral lists this long non-coding RNA (211 nucleotides) under Setaria italica (foxtail millet). RNAcentral's name for it is "long non-coding RNA (SITA_LNC002597)". The record is from RNAcentral. Lineage: Eukaryota; Viridiplantae; Streptophyta; Magnoliopsida; Poales; Poaceae.
GCCUAUGUCACUACGUGCAUGCUAUAUGCUUAAUCUCGGAGUACGUGGCAUUCCGUGUGUAUAUGUCUGCCACGUCGGUCGCUGAGAACUGAGAAGGCCUAACUUUGCUUAUGCUAUCUCGCAGGAAUAAUCACGCACGGCCUAAUUUCAGUUCAACCUGUCACCUGUGUGUGGCCCUGCACUAAUCCAAAUCUAAUUUCCCUGCAUCGCU